Molecule: ribosomal RNA, 856 nt
Filed under: uncultured bacterium
Lineage: Bacteria
Description: bacterial SSU rRNA
Rfam family: Bacterial small subunit ribosomal RNA
Source: RNAcentral
AGGAUGAACGCUGGCGGCGUGCCUAAUACAUGCAAGUCGAGCGGAAGAUUUAGCAAUAGAUCCUUAGCGGCGAACGGGUGAGUAACGCGUUGGUGACCUGCCUCGAAGCUUGGGAUAACAGUUCGAAAGGACUGCUAAUACCGGAUGUGUUCAUAAGGAUUAGAAGCCUUAUGAGUAAAGGAGAAAUUCACUUCGAGAGGGGCCUGCGUCCCAUCAGCUAGUUGGAAGGGUAACGGCCUCCCAAGGCGAUGACGGGUAGGGGACCUGAGAGGGUGGCCUCCCACAAUGGAACUGAAACACGGUCCAUACACCUACGGGUGGCAGCAGUAGGGAAUAUUGCAUAAUGGGCGAAAGCCUGAUGCAGCAACGCCGCGUGUGCGAUGAAGGCCUUCGGGUCGUAAAGCACUUUUGAAGGGGAUGAGGAAGGACAGUACCCUUCGAAUAAGCUUCGGCUAACUACGUGCCAGCAGCCGCGGUAAAACGUAGGAAGCGAGCGUUAUCCGGAUUUACUGGGUGUAAAGCGCGUGUAGGCGGUUUGGCAAGUUGGAUGUGAAAGCUCCUGGCUCAACUGGGAGAGGCCGUUCAAAACUACCAGACUUGAGGGCGGUAGAGGGAGGUGGAAUUCCCGGUGUAGUGGUGAAAUGCGUAGAUAUCGGGAGGAACACCUGUGGCGAGAGCGGCCUCCUGGACCGUUCCUGACGCUCAGACGCGAAAGCUAGGGGAGCGAACGGGAUUAGAAACCCCGGUAGUCCUAGCCGUAAACGAUGCAGACUUGGCGUCGGUGGGGGUGAAAGCCAUCGGUGCCGAAGCUAACGCGUUAAGUCUGCCGCCUGGGGACUACGGCCGCAAGGUUAAA